UACAGAGGGUGCUAGCGUUGUUCGGAAUCAUUGGGCGUAAAGGGCGUGUAGGCGGUUUGUUAAGUCAUGUGUGAAAUCCCUCGGCUCAACCGGGGAACGACGCAUGAAACUGGCAAGCUAGAGUACCAAAGAGGGGGGUGGAAUUCCCGGUGUAGCGGUGAAAUGCGCAGAUAUCAGGAAGAACACCUAUGGCGAAGGCAGCACUCUGGGACGGUACUGACGCUGAGACGCGAAAGCGUGGGGAGCGAACAGG
Molecule: ribosomal RNA, 253 nt
Filed under: uncultured bacterium
Lineage: Bacteria
Description: partial 16S ribosomal RNA
Rfam family: Bacterial small subunit ribosomal RNA
Source: RNAcentral